This 497-nucleotide ribosomal RNA is filed under the name uncultured bacterium. RNAcentral describes it as "partial 16S ribosomal RNA". It matches the Rfam family "Bacterial small subunit ribosomal RNA", at positions 28 to 507 of the family's 1533-position model. The record is from RNAcentral.
GUUGAACGCUGGCGGCGUGCCUAAUACAUGCAAGUCGAGCGAACAGACGAGGAGCUUGCUCCUCUGACGUUAGCGGCGGACGGGUGAGUAACACGUGGAUAACCUACCUAUAAGACUGGGAUAACUUCGGGAAACCGGAGCUAAUACCGGAUAAUAUAUUGAACCGCAUGGUUCAAUAGUGAAAGACGGUUUUGCUGUCACUUAUAGAUGGAUCCGCGCCGCAUUAGCUAGUUGGUAAGGUAACGGCUUACCAAGGCGACGAUGCGUAGCCGACCUGAGAGGGUGAUCGGCCACACUGGAACUGAGACACGGUCCAGACUCCUACGGGAGGCAGCAGUAGGGAAUCUUCCGCAAUGGGCGAAAGCUUGACGGAGCAACGCCGCGUGAGUGAUGAAGGUCUUCGGAUCGUAAAACUCUGUUAUUAGGGAAGAACAAAUGUGUAAGUAACUAUGCACGUCUUGACGGUACCUAAUCAGAAAGCCACGGCUAACUACGUG